Molecule: unclassified non-coding RNA, 82 nt
Filed under: Flavobacterium phragmitis
Lineage: Bacteria; Pseudomonadati; Bacteroidota; Flavobacteriia; Flavobacteriales; Flavobacteriaceae
Description: Flavo-1 RNA
Source: RNAcentral
AGUUUGCGUGAGGGAUAGAAGAGAAAAUCCCACAGCCUGACGAAGGAAGAGCGAGGACUUGUAACGGAUAGCCCGACCCGGA